This 405-nucleotide ribosomal RNA is filed under the name uncultured bacterium. RNAcentral describes it as "bacterial SSU rRNA". It matches the Rfam family "Bacterial small subunit ribosomal RNA", at positions 362 to 758 of the family's 1533-position model. The record is from RNAcentral.
UUUUGGCCAAUGGGGGCAACCUUGACCCACCGAUCCCGCGUGAGUGAAGAAGCCCUUCGGGUGGUAAAGCUCUUUAGGUUGGGAAGAAGGUUGGCCGAGGAAAAGCGGUUAAUUUGACUGUACCAGCAGAAUAAGCACCGGCAGACUCUGUGCCAGCAGCCGCGGUAAUACAGAGGGUGCGAGCGUUGAUCGGAAUUACUGGGCGUAAAGGGCGCGUAGGCGGUUAUAUGAGUGUGGUGUGAAAGCCCCGGGCUUAACCUGGGAAGUGCAUUGCAAACGAUAUAACUGGAGUAGAUGAGAGGGUGGUGGAAUUUCCGGUGUAGCGGUGAAAUGCGUAGAGUAUCGGAAGGAACGUCAAUGGCGAAGGCAGCCCCCUGGCUAUCAUACUGACGCUCAGGCACGAAA